Molecule: ribosomal RNA, 253 nt
Filed under: uncultured bacterium
Lineage: Bacteria
Description: partial 16S ribosomal RNA
Rfam family: Bacterial small subunit ribosomal RNA
Source: RNAcentral
UACGAGGGGGGCAAGCGUUGUUCGGAAUUACUGGGCGUAAAGCGUGCGCAGGCGGUUCGCUAAGACAGAUGUGAAAUCCCCGGGCUUAACCUGGGAACUGCAUUUGUGACUGGCGGGCUAGAGUAUGGCAGAGGGGGGUAGAAUUCCACGUGUAGCAGUGAAAUGCGUAGAGAUGUGGAGGAAUACCAAUGGCGAAGGCAGCCCCCUGGGCCAAUACUGACGCUCAUGCACGAAAGCGUGGGGAGCAAACAGG